This 1382-nucleotide long non-coding RNA is filed under the name Anser cygnoides (Swan goose). RNAcentral's name for it is "lncRNA (ENSACDG00005010812.1)". The record is from RNAcentral. Lineage: Eukaryota; Metazoa; Chordata; Aves; Anseriformes; Anatidae.
UGUCUAAUGUUUCUGCCUAGACAACAUCCUUUCAGCUUUCGCAUCAUUUACAAUUAAGCUGUAACAAAACAAAAUACAACAGCACUCACUCAGUGCCACAUUCGCAACUCUUACUUAAGAAAAAGUAAAAAAGAAUAAAGGAAAGUCACAAGUGUGUUCCUCUUACUAAGAAAAACAGGGAUGGAUGUGUUCUGGCUUUUACUAUGUUCAGCAUACCAGAUGGUCAGAAGGCCUCUAUCUCUUUUGAACAGUAGUGAUCUUAGCUCUGUCUUCACCUCUUGAAAAAAUACGAGUGCAAAAGCAUGACGGAUAAGUUCAAAAGAUGAAGGUGCCAAAUUUACAACGCCAAAGGAUGUCUGAAACAGAAUUUAAGUUUGUAUCAUGGAACCACAAAAUAUUUCAGGUUGGAAGGGAUCCCUGCAGGUCAUCUAGUCCAAUUCCCUGCUCAAAGCAGGUCCAUUGCCAAUAGUCUAUCAGGUCACUUGAUCAGGUUUGCCCUUGCUCUGAGAGCACUUUCUUGGGACUGAGGCUUUGGCAGCCAUGAUGUUUUUGCCAGCUGAAGCCAUUCCUACUUCAUGUCCAAUCCAGCUUCUUGCACUGCCCUCCCAGCACAAACAUUUGUAUAGUCUCCUAAGGAAGUGAUUCAGCUGAAAUAUAAUCUGGACCUCCAAUAUAAUAAUCUUUUUUUAGCUGGAACAAUUCCCCAGUCCAAUUUAUUCAGCAGUUCUACUCACAACUGUGCUAGCAUGGUGGGGUGAGAGCCAGACAAGGACAAGCAGCCGAGUGGAGGAAAGGAAAGGAGGAGGAAGGAGGGAGGGAGGAAAAUGCCUGCCUAAGCCAGAGCUGCAGAUUAAUGAAUUCUAUGCCAAGCCCAACCCUCAGAGAAGCAAGAAUCAGCUCCUGGACCAGCCCCUUCACAACUACAAUUUCCUCUUCUAUACAAGGGGAACUUCUGUACGAGGACUUAACAGAGUAUACAGAUAUAGAUGAAAGGCAUGCAGUUUUCCUGCAGCAUUUACCCCCAACUGUGGUGGUGAAUCACAUUAUAUGAAGAAGGUAAUCAGACCAUAAAAUCUGUAAGUAUUCCUACCCAGUGUGAUUAACAGAGGAAAAGAAUUGCAGUUGUUCAUGUCUGCUAUAUACCUUUUUCCAGAUGCUCAGAAAGAAUGGUAAUUACAUUUUGUUGUCUCAUUUUAAAAAGAUAAAUAAGAAUAUUGCUUGUCAAGCUUCAAGAGUAGAUCAACCAGCCUUUCAUUCUCAGGAGAACUCCAAAAUAUCAUUAUUCAAAGGGCAGAGAACACACCUAGCAGUAUGUGCUGCACAGCUCCUGGUACGCUAGAAGUAUAAUGAAUAAAUGAUCAUAACAAUAAAGCUGUCUUGCA